ACGAACGCUGGCGGCGUGCUUAACACAUGCCAGUCGAACGGAAAGGCCCUGCUUUUGUGGGGUGCUCGAGUGGCGAACGGGUGAGUAACACGUGAGUAACCUGCCCUUGACUUUGGGAUAACUUCAGGAAACUGGGGCUAAUACCGGAUAGGAGCUCCUGCUGCAUGGUGGGGGUUGGAAAGUUUCGGCGGUUGGGGAUGGACUCGCGGCUUAUCAGCUUGUUGGUGGGGUAGUGGCUUACCAAGGCUUUGACGGGUAGCCGGCCUGAGAGGGUGACCGGCCACAUUGGGACUGAGAUACGGCCCAGACUCCUACGGGAGGCAGCAGUGGGGAAUAUUGCACAAUGGGCGGUAGCCUGAUGCAGCAACGCCGCGUGCGGGAUGACGGCCUUCGGGUUGUAAACCGCUUUCGCCUGUGACGAAGCGUGAGUGACGGUAAUGGGUAAAGAAGCACCGGCUAACUACGUG
RNAcentral lists this ribosomal RNA (467 nucleotides) under uncultured bacterium. Its description in RNAcentral is "partial 16S ribosomal RNA". It matches the Rfam family "Bacterial small subunit ribosomal RNA", at positions 29 to 507 of the family's 1533-position model. The record is from RNAcentral.